AUUGAACGCUGGCGGCAGGCCUAACACAUGCAAGUCGAACGGUAACAGGAAGAAGCUUGCUUCUUUGCUGACGAGUGGCGGACGGGUGAGUAAUGUCUGGGAAACUGCCUGAUGGAGGGGGAUAACUACUGGAAACGGUAGCUAAUACCGCAUAACGUCGCAAGACCAAAGAGGGGGACCUUCGGGCCUCUUGCCAUCGGAUGUGCCCAGAUGGGAUUAGCUAGUAGGUGGGGUAACGGCUCACCUAGGCGACGAUCCCUAGCUGGUCUGAGAGGAUGACCAGCCACACUGGAACUGAGACACGGUCCAGACUCCUACGGGAGGCAGCAGUGGGGAAUAUUGCACAAUGGGCGCAAGCCUGAUGCAGCCAUGCCGCGUGUAUGAAGAAGGCCUUCGGGUUGUAAAGUACUUUCAGCGGGGAGGAAGGGAGUAAAGUUAAUACCUUUACUCAUUGACGUUACCCGAAGAAGAAGCACCGGCUAACUCCGUG
This 490-nucleotide ribosomal RNA is filed under the name uncultured bacterium. RNAcentral describes it as "partial 16S ribosomal RNA". It matches the Rfam family "Bacterial small subunit ribosomal RNA", at positions 30 to 507 of the family's 1533-position model. The record is from RNAcentral.